This 681-nucleotide ribosomal RNA is filed under the name uncultured bacterium. RNAcentral describes it as "bacterial SSU rRNA". It matches the Rfam family "Bacterial small subunit ribosomal RNA", at positions 66 to 738 of the family's 1533-position model. The record is from RNAcentral.
GGGGCAUCAGGAAGAAGCUUGCUUUCUUUGCUGGCGACCGGCGCACGGGUGAGUAACACGUAUCCAACCUGCCCUUUACUCGGGGAUAGCCUUUCGAAAGAAAGAUUAAUACCCGAUGGCAUAAUGAUUCCGCAUGGUUUCAUUAUUAAAGGAUUCCGGUAAAGGAUGGGGAUGCGUUCCAUUAGGUUGUUGGUGAGGUAACGGCUCACCAAGCCUUCGAUGGAUAGGGGUUCUGAGAGGAAGGUCCCCCACAUUGGAACUGAGACACGGUCCAAACUCCUACGGGAGGCAGCAGUGAGGAAUAUUGGUCAAUGGGCGCUAGCCUGAACCAGCCAAGUAGCGUGAAGGAUGAAGGCUCUAUGGGUCGUAAACUUCUUUUAUAUAAGAAUAAAGUGCAGUAUGUAUACUGUUUUGUAUGUAUUAUAUGAAUAAGGAUCGGCUAACUCCGUGCCAGCAGCCGCGGUAAUACGGAGGAUCCGAGCGUUAUCCGGAUUUAUUGGGUUUAAAGGGAGCGUAGGUGGACUGGUAAGUCAGUUGUGAAAGUUUGCGGCUCAACCGUAAAAUUGCAGUUGAUACUGUCAGUCUUGAGUACAGUAGAGGUGGGCGGAAUUCGUGGUGUAGCGGUGAAAUGCUUAGAUAUCACGAAGAACUCCGAUUGCGAAGGCAGCUCACUGGACUGCA